Molecule: ribosomal RNA, 467 nt
Filed under: uncultured bacterium
Lineage: Bacteria
Description: bacterial SSU rRNA
Rfam family: Bacterial small subunit ribosomal RNA
Source: RNAcentral
GAUGAACGCUGGCGGCGUGUCUAAGGCAUGCAAGUCGAACGGACUGUUAUUUGUAGCAAUACUUAGAACAGUUAGUGGCAAACGGGUGCGUAACACAUUGGUAACCUGCCUCAAAGUCGGGCAUAAUCCCGCGAAAGUGGGACUAAUUCCACGAUAGUCAUCGAAGGUGAGAUUCCUUCGAUGUGAAGUCGCAAGACGCUUUGAGAGGGGCCUAUGGCCUAUCAGCUUGUUGGUGAGGUAACGGCUCACCAAGGCUAUGACGGGUAGCUGGUCUGAGAGGAUGAUCAGCCACACUGGAACUGAAACACGGUCCAUACACCUACGGGUGGCAGCAGUAGGGAAUAGUUGCACAAUGGGCGAAAGCCUGAUGCAGCAACGCCGCGUGUGCGAUGAAGGCCCUCGGGUCGUAAAGCACUUUUCUGAGAGAUGAGCAAGGACAGUAUCUCAGGAAUAAGUCUCGGCUAACU